Non-coding RNA from Pelobates cultripes (western spadefoot toad), 209 nucleotides. The record is from the annotation of a GenBank genome assembly. Lineage: Eukaryota; Metazoa; Chordata; Amphibia; Anura; Pelobatidae.
GUUAGAGACUUGCUUAGUAUAUUUUGUAGGAUUACAGGCAUUAUAGAGACAUUUCGGCAGGAGUGUGUGACAUAUAAGAUAGAGUUUUGCUGACAACGACACCUGUGCUACACUAUCCUAUACGUUAACAGGUUGAUGCUAUUAAUGCCAGACGAUAUGCAAAUGUGGUUAUUAAUAAAGGUCAUGCUAUUUUAAGAUAGGCAAACAAG